RNAcentral lists this transfer RNA (69 nucleotides) under Ictidomys tridecemlineatus (thirteen-lined ground squirrel). Its description in RNAcentral is "Spermophilus tridecemlineatus (thirteen-lined ground squirrel) tRNA". It matches the Rfam family "tRNA". From Rfam's summary of the family: Transfer RNA (tRNA) molecules are approximately 80 nucleotides in length. Their secondary structure includes four short double-helical elements and three loops (D, anti-codon, and T loops). RNAcentral also lists the same sequence under 1 other name. Lineage: Eukaryota; Metazoa; Chordata; Mammalia; Rodentia; Sciuridae. The record is from Rfam by way of RNAcentral.
GGGGUUGUGGCUCAGUGGUAGAGCGCUUACCUUGAACAUGUGAGGCACUGAGUUCAAUCCUCAGCACCA